RNAcentral lists this ribosomal RNA (282 nucleotides) under uncultured prokaryote. RNAcentral's name for it is "partial 16S ribosomal RNA". It matches the Rfam family "Bacterial small subunit ribosomal RNA", at positions 355 to 627 of the family's 1533-position model. The record is from RNAcentral.
UGGGGAAUAUUGGGCAAUGGGCGAAAGCCUGACCCAGCGACGCCGUGUGGGCGAUGAAGGCCUUCGGGUUGUAAAGCCCUGUUGGGUGGAAAGAAGGGCUCUUGGAUGAAUAAUCUUUGAGUCUUGACGGUACCACCAGAGGAAGCACCGGCUAACUCCGUGCCAGCAGCCGCGGUAAUACGGAGGGUGCAAGCGUUGUUCGGAAUUACUGGGCGUAAAGGGCGCGUAGGUGGUGGUGUAAGUCAGAUGUGAAAUCCUGAGGCUCAACCUCAGAACUGCAUC